RNAcentral lists this ribosomal RNA (253 nucleotides) under uncultured bacterium. RNAcentral describes it as "partial 16S ribosomal RNA". It matches the Rfam family "Bacterial small subunit ribosomal RNA", at positions 524 to 776 of the family's 1533-position model. The record is from RNAcentral.
UACAGAGGAUGCAAGCGUUAUCCGGAAUGAUUGGGCGUAAAGCGUCUGUAGGUGGCUUUUUAAGUCCGCCGUCAAAUCCCAGGGCUCAACCCUGGACAGGCGGUGGAAACUACCAAGCUGGAGUACGGUAGGGGCAGAGGGAAUUUCCGGUGGAGCGGUGAAAUGCGUAGAGAUCGGAAAGAACACCAAUUGCGAAGGCAGCUGGCUACGCGAAUAUUGACACUGAUGCACGAAAGCGUGGGGAUCAAACAGG